Oenanthe melanoleuca is the source of this 5740-nucleotide long non-coding RNA. RefSeq lists it as uncharacterized. Lineage: Eukaryota; Metazoa; Chordata; Aves; Passeriformes; Muscicapidae. The record is from RefSeq and is a predicted model, not a curated record. The transcript has 4 exons.
AAUGUGCCUACAGUCAUUUCCCAGCUUUCUGGAGGUGACAACUCUCGUGUUGAAGCAAUGAUGUGUGCCUGUCCUUACAGAUGCAAGCUGAGGGAUGUGCACAGACAGCCAUGCUGCUGGGAGAUUGGAGAAUCUCUCCAAGGAUAAUGUCUUGGAUUGGCACUCAUGCAGUCAGAUGGAUCUGCCCAUGGAGCUUUGGAGGAGCAGCACCAAGACUUCAGAAGAAAGAAAUCUGGAGGAUGAAGUAAAAAGCAGUGUGUGGCUUCUGUUAUUGGUAGUUUUGGUUUUGGAUAUUUUUUUGCUUGUUUUUUGUUUUGUUUUGCUUUGUUUUGUUUUUCUUUGGAGGCCUGUCUCUGCAAAUGCAUUCAGAAAAUGCUACGUUGCUGCUUUCCUUGGCAAGCUGUCAGUGUCUGGUAGGAUGAAUUCCUGGGAGGAAAAGCACUGCUGAGGAAUUUUAUGCCAGAGAAGGUGAUGAUCCCACUAAGCUGCUCGGUGCUCAUUUGAAGGUACAGAGUAUCCACAUGAAAACCUUGUUCUCCCUAUAAUUUAAUACCUUUCUUACCUAAAAUACUGAAGAAAUAAAAGCUUGAAAGUCAGCAGCAAGUGGGAAAUGUGGGUAUUAUGGAUGUCCCCUACAGACAUUAAGGACAUUUGGCUAGGUCUGUAGCAUACUGUGCUGCCCCUGGGUGAGAAAUGACAGAAAUGGAAGAAGACCUGGACAAUUCACAAGAUAAAGCCUGUCUUGAAACAAGCACACUAAAACAGACUGCCUGUUUUGCCAUAAGCUGUCCUUUAUGACACCCACUCCCACACAUCUCACUUUGCACCCACAUAUAAAGAAUAAUUUAAAAUGAUAAAAAAUAUCUUAAGAAGUGCUCCUACUUCAAACAUUAGCCCAUCAAUGCAGCAUUUCAGAUCCAGUGUUCUCGCUGCACUUCAGCAUUGAUGCACAGCUCAGUCUGGGGAGUGAAUUUCCAGUUCUGAAUUUUACAAAUUUCACAACAGACACACAGAAAUGAUGUGCAAGAAGAGCUCUCAAUGUCUCCAAGGCCAUAUAGUUUAUGAGCACUGUUAAAAGUCUCCUUCUGGUCAGAUCUCAGCAUUUAUGUAGAAAGGUUGUUUUUCUCUCAUUAUGAUAUCAUGGGAAUUUGUCACAUUUUCUUGGGCUCCUGUUUGGCUUCAAUAAUUUUUCAGAAACUUUCCAGUGUGUUGGUAAGCACACUGGAAGUGUACAGUGAUAAAACUUCUUGCUAAAGCGCUCUCUGUUUUCCAGGAAAACAGGGAAGUAUUGGGAGCACUGACUGAGGCUUGGUCCUCUCUUGUCUUCAGUCACUACCACAGAAUAUUUUUCCUUUGACUUGGCACAGGGAGUAGGAGCAGAAAUUACCAUCUCAGUUUUAUUUAUUCCAACAACAUCUUGUAGACAUUUGCUUUUGUGACACCCUUCCAGAUGGGACUGAGCAUGCAGCUAUUUGAGUCCCAGAGCUCUACAGAUGUCCAGAUGGAAGACUAGAGUGCACAGCAAUCAGUGAGUAAUUGGAAAAAAAUAAACACAACUGGGGAAGAGGUUCCAGCAUAAAUAUAUAUGACAGCUCAUGGAGAGAUAACUUGUUGCUAUUAAUCCUGCUGGCUAAUAACAGCAUAAAUUUACCCUGCACAGAGCCUUUCCUCUAAGGUGAAGAACUUGAAAGGAUCACAGAGGAAUUAAUUUAUGAGAACUGAUGGAGUGGAAAGCAUCUCAGCAGAGUCAGCUUGCGUUUGCUGAACUCAGGCUAACAUCACCGAUCGACUUUUUCCACAUACUGAACUGGGCAAAAAAGGAUGAGGUAAAAUUAAUCUGGACUGCAGCAAGAUGUUUUGAUCUGGUUGCAAUCAGAAGAGCCACUGAGAUAAUGGAGAUGAAUUGCUGGCUCAAGAUGAUGAUAUGGUGGAUGGUGAUUAGUUUUCAGAUAGAGUAUUAUCAGGCUGAGUCAUGGUUCAGCUCAGCCAGCACCGUACUACAUAAUCUCCAGUGAUUUUAAGGCAGUGAUUAAUUUGGUCUUGGCCAAAUCUAUUGUUGGAAUUGGGAGCAGCAAUAAAUAUUUUCUUAGAGUUACUGUUAUAUCCAUUAAAAGCAUCUGUGGGGGACUCUGGGUAUUGAUGGAGCAGCAGUUAUGAGCACUAUAUCAAGGAAUGGAAGAGAUGGUGAGUCACAAUUUAUAAAACAAUAUUUUAAGUGUUAGAAAAUUAUUACAAAUAUUGUGAUGGGGGAAAAGCAGUGAAUAAAGGAGGGGAAGAAUACACAUAAAAUGGCCAUUGAAAAGCCAGUUUUCUCCUGGGAUGAAUACAGGGGGACAUAAGCUAUGAUUGUAACAUAGUAAUGUGUAUUCAGCUCGAGCUGAGUACAAAAGGCCACCAAGCAGAGGCACUUGCAGUUUCUCACUGCUUCCAGGAGUGUGAGAGGCUGUGUGUGGGACUGAGUGGAGAAUUCAGGUCAGCAGCAUUCCCAAUUCAGAAAGAAGCUUCAAAGCAAUUCUAAAUGGCCUCAAUUACAUUUAGAAUACCACAAAUUAUGCAUUUUAUGUCCAGUGGAUUUUUUGUAAAUGACAUCACAAAGGGAAAAGUGGUUCCUGAAAUGGAAAUUGAACGUGAAAUGCAGAUUUCCUUAGUCAAGAUGCCAUUGAGCCUCCUUCUCCACAACAAAGGCUCUACUUUGCCUGCCAGCAGCCCCAUUCCACAUAUCCCCAUUCUUUGUCCUCCACUUUAAUGCCCAGGAUAGGAUUUAGAGAAAAGAACAUUACUUUGGAGAUUGAAAUAACUAAUUUGCAUUUGGGUAGGGGAAACAUUCAACAGCUCUGACAUUUUUACUUCUGCACUGAGCUUCAGCUGCUUCUCCCCAGGUAGGGAACAGCCUCUGGAUUCUGUCUUACUAUUUCCCAUGCUAGUCACCAUUCUGGUGUUCAGGAUUCUUGUAGGAGAGCUGAUAACAGCAGCUCAUAAGAGAACUGAUCACCUUAUGAAUGCUCUGUACCAGCCCUACUUUCUUACAACUGGAUUGGUUUGAUGGGGGAAGAAAGAUUUCAGCCCAGAAUUGCUGGCAGUAGCAAAGGUAUGCUGAUUUGCCUCAGUGUGCUCAUUCAGAAAUCAGUCAUUCCAGUCCCAGUCCAGACCUGCUGGGACUGGAAUAACAAGCUUUGUUGUUCAGUGUUUUCUUGAUUUUUCCUUUAUACAUACAAAAUUUUGUAUUCCCAUAACUCUAACAGGAUGUGUUUUUACUUUUUCCUGACACCUCUUCCUGGCAGGAAGCUGGAUCAGCCUCUCUGUAUUUAAUGUAAAUAGAUAUAAACUAGUCAAGACAGUGACUUUGGACAAUAUUUUGCCAUUAUUUAUUUCACAGAGUUUUCUUCUCAACAGUAGGUACUAUUUGCAGAGUAUUUUCCCCUGCUUUUUUAGUGUCUAUUCUCUGGGAAAAUGAAGAAAAAUGAUAACAUAUUUGGGAGUGUCAGCCAUCCUGACAAAACAAGACAAAGAAACCAAGUUGGCUUUAUUUUAGCAAAUAAACCAUAUGCCUUAUAUCAGUGGGAGAUGUGCCCCAUUGAGAGGAAAUAAUCACCUCUGAUUUUGUGGAGAUCUUUGCCAGGCUGUGGGCUUGGCUUCUGAUCUGCACACAGAACAUAUAUUAAUGAUCACAGGUUUGUUGGAAUUAUUCCUCUAUGCUUAUGCUGACAGAGGCCAAAGUAGAUGGGAAAAAGAAGAAAUAAUGUUUUAGCCUUACUUCCACAGAAGGGACCUAUAUCAUAGCAUACCAUAAUAUCAAUGCAAUGAUAUAAACACAAUAUUACAAGGUCGUGGUCCAAACACAGUGGUGUUCACAUUUCUGGAUACAGUUUCAAGAGAAACAUUCCCUUUUCCUGCCCAUUGGAACAGACAGUGCAGGUAUUCUGACCCAUAAACAUUUGUGCACAGGUUCAACUUCUGCUGCUAAUAGUAAUCAAACCCUGCCACUGACCUCAUUGCAUAUUUAAAGUUGAGCAUAAGACCUAAGAGCUCUCAGGGCCAGAAAUAUGAAUCAGGGUUUACAUGGAGAGAACUGAGGUCCAGAGGGAUGCAGUUGCCAGGAAGUGGCUAUAUAUCAGAAGAAAAAUUGAAUUUAGACCUCUGAGAUCCAACUAAAUCACAAGAGCACAUUUCCUCUAUUUAAUCAUUAGAUAAAAAGUGAGAUUGAAGAAAAUCUUCAAUUUGUUUGGAAACCUUUCUGCCUCCAUUUUGGGAUCAGAUUUCAAAAACUAUCAAAUUCAGAAGGGUGAGUUCUCACAGAAAGUGCCAGUGAGAGACUGUGAUUUCCCAUUUGCUUGUUGCUGUUUUUUUUCCUCUCCCCUAACAAGAAUUCCUAAAAUAAUCUAAAGUAUCUGUUGUUUAUAUCUGAAGAAGACAACAGUUUAAAAUAUGCAUACCUGCUUCUAGUGAGUUGAAAGCACAAUGUAACUACGAUUUUAUUACCAUAUCUUUUGUUCUCUGGGUUUCUGUUUCAAGGGUUUGAUCAAAAUUAAUGUGGUCUCUCUACCCAAUGGCAUUUAUUUUGGUUAUAAGAUUAGAAAUGUAAAUUUGCAAUAAAAGAAGAAAAUAGGAAGCUGUUUUAAUGAAUAUUUUACACAUGACUAAUUAACAGAAUCCCCUACAGGAAUUUGGAAGUAAUAAGGAAUUGACUGAAAAUAAAUUAAAAAUUAAUAAAGGGGUCUCCAAACAACUUUGUUUAUGAGCAUUACCAGUUGCAUUCUCAGUUAUGAAUAUUUCAAGCUGCUUUACUAUUCAGGAUGUUUUAUUCUUGGAGUGUUCAUAAUUUUAGAGGUGAUUAGACAAAAAAAGAAGAACAACACAAAACAAAAUGUCUUGAAAUGAUAAAGCCUACCUGGGGAAAACUUGCUAAUGCACAAAUAAUGGCUUAAUAUCCAUUGUUUUUGUCUAAUAAUACCUGUGGUAUGAUGUUCCUCUUAAUCCUCAUCUUCUAAAUGGAAAGAACAGAAAUGCUGGCUAAUUCAUUGAGAAAAAUGAGAGACUUUUCCCAGAUAUUGUCUUGAGAGAGGAGCUGCAGUGCUGAGCUGUGCACAGCCAUUGGUGCUGUAGCUGAGCCUGCAGAGGCUCUGCCUGGGCUUGGGCUGCUGCAGGUGGGGACACCCAGCUGGGGUGGGACCUGCACAGGUGCACUCUGCUGCUGGCACAAAGCAGGAGCUCCACCCUGCUACUCUGCUCCCUUGGCCUCAGCUAAACUGUACAACAAAGCACUUUGCAAGGUAAUGGCACAAAAAAUAUACCUUUAUGUGCUUAUGCUCUAUCUUCAUUUAUAUCAGUAUAGCACAAAUAUUAUCUAGGAAGGGAGAGGGAGAAACUCACAAAUGCCACCUGUUCUCAGAUGCCUAAUGUAAUGUUUUAGUUAGGUUAAAAUCUUUGAAAUAAAAGUGAUUUAAAUUCUCUGGUGUUGCCUUUGAUACAAAAACUGAUCUAAAAAAUUUCUCAGAGAACUUAGGCUAAACCAUCCAACACCUUUAGCUGAGGAAGGUCAGAACAUAAGCCUGAAGAAUAGAAAAGAAAAGGAAAUAAAUGACCACUUCUAAAUAAAUAAAUAGAUCCCCUUCACUGUUAGAUGAUCUGAGGUGAUCCAAUCAAUCUAGGUAUCCUAAUAUCAAAGAUAAAUUACAGCAAAACUAGAAUAAAAACAGAAAACACUGACUGAGGGUUUCUGGUUGUUUUGUUUUGUUGGGUU